Non-coding RNA from Pelobates cultripes (western spadefoot toad), 613 nucleotides. The record is from the annotation of a GenBank genome assembly. NCBI's taxonomy places the organism in Eukaryota, Metazoa, Chordata, Amphibia, Anura, Pelobatidae.
CCAAGAUGGCGACGACACACUCCCUUUACAGGGAUCCCCUGGGGAAACAGCCCUCCCAGUCACUCAAGCUAUCCUCCAGACAUGUCUCGACGAUAUGUCAGAGAAAUUACUGCACAACUUUAACAAAUCCAUCUCAGAUCUACGAAAAGACGUCCAGGAAUUGGGAGACCGGACUGCCCAUAUGGAAAACCGCAUGGGCGAAUACGCGGAGGCACACAACGAUAUGGCCGACCAUGUUCAGCACCUGGAACAAGAACUAGCAGCAUGCCAAACCAAACUUAUGGACCUGGAGGAUAGGUCUAGGAGGCACAACAUACGUUUCAGAGGUAUACCUGAAGCCGUUAAACAAACGGACAUAGUAGCACACCUCACAGAUCUAUUUAAAACUCUGGCUCCGGAUCUCCCGGCGGACGUCCUCCUCAUUGACAGAGCCCACAGAGUUAUGAAGCCUAAAUUCCUCCCAGAAGAAGCCCCCAGGGACAUACUUGCCUGUCUCCACUACUAUCACGCAAAGGAAGCGCUAAUGCAGGCAUCCAGGAGGCGGAAGGACCUCCCGACCCCGUAUAACACCAUCCAACUCUACUCCGACCUCUCAGCGAGAACCCUGCAGAAG